UGCAUUUUGCCUUCAUCAUUUGAAUAUAGUGAUCAGGAACGGAAUGGUUGGUUAAUCUCGGCUGAUGAUCAUCUCAAUUAGUUUGCUACCAACCGGCUACCUUGCCUGCUAUGCUUGCAAUGAAGCUCUAUAGUUUAGUGAUAGCAUAUGGUUUUGUGUGUGAACUGAGGAUGGGAGUACAAGUUUAAUAUUGAGCAGCAAGUACAUGAAUGGUCAACCUUGCAAGAUUCUUGCAAUUCAAUGCCCA
Molecule: unclassified non-coding RNA, 247 nt
Filed under: Hevea brasiliensis (rubber tree)
Lineage: Eukaryota; Viridiplantae; Streptophyta; Magnoliopsida; Malpighiales; Euphorbiaceae
Source: RNAcentral